This 253-nucleotide ribosomal RNA is filed under the name uncultured bacterium. RNAcentral describes it as "partial 16S ribosomal RNA". It matches the Rfam family "Bacterial small subunit ribosomal RNA", at positions 524 to 776 of the family's 1533-position model. The record is from RNAcentral.
UACGGAGGGGGCUAGCGUUGUUCGGAAUUACUGGGCGUAAAGCGCACGUAGGCGGAUCAGUCAGUUAGAGGUGAAAGCCCAGGGCUCAACCCUGGAACUGCCUUUAAUACUGCUGGUCUGGAGUCCGAGAGAGGUGAGUGGAAUUCCUGGUGUAGCGGUGAAAUGCGCAGAUAUCAGGAGGAACACCAAUGGCGAAGGCAGCUCACUGGGACGAUACUGACGCUGAGACGCGAAAGCGUGGGGAGCAAACAGG